This 272-nucleotide ribosomal RNA is filed under the name uncultured prokaryote. Its description in RNAcentral is "partial 16S ribosomal RNA". It matches the Rfam family "Bacterial small subunit ribosomal RNA", at positions 524 to 796 of the family's 1533-position model. The record is from RNAcentral.
UACAGAGGUCCCGAGCGUUGUUCGGAUUCACUGGGCGUAAAGGGUGCGUAGGUGGUGAGGAAAGUCGGAUGUGAAAUCUCCGGGCUCAACCCGGAAAUGGCAUUGGAAACUGCCUUGCUUGAGGAUUUGAGGGGGGAUUGGAAUACUUGGUGUAGCAGUGAAAUGCGUAGAUAUCAAGUGGAACACCAGUGGCGAAGGCGAAUCCCUGGAAAAUACCUGACACUGAGGCACGAAAGCUAGGGGAGCAAACAGGAUUAGAAACCCGGUAGUCC